GCGGCGCUGAGGCGCAGGCGCAGUGGGGGCCGCGCAGCGCCGUGCCGCCAUCCCGUCAGUGUCGGCGGGCAGCGGGGCCGAGCAUGUCGGAAAAAAAGCAGCCGGUGGACCUGGGGCUCCUGGAGGAAGACGACGAGUUCGAGGAGUUUCCGGCUGAAGAUUGGACUGGUUUAGAUGAAGAUGAAGAUGCACAUGUUUGGGAAGACAACUGGGAUGACGACAACGUAGAAGAUGAUUUCUCCAAUCAGUUAAGAGCUGAACUAGAAAAACACGGAUACAAGAUGGAAACUUCAUAGCUUUUGCUGAUAUGGAGUGGUGUAACACUGAACUUUGGACAGACUAUACUGAGAAACGGUGGAAAAUGAGAAGACGCUUAGUUCAUUAUCUGCUUGAAUUUAUUAUUGUUUUGUAUGGAAAAUAAAGUUUUUAAUCUUAGCCCGA
Lagopus muta (rock ptarmigan) is the source of this 441-nucleotide long non-coding RNA. RefSeq lists it as uncharacterized. The record is from RefSeq and is a predicted model, not a curated record. The transcript has 3 exons. Lineage: Eukaryota; Metazoa; Chordata; Aves; Galliformes; Phasianidae.